RNAcentral lists this long non-coding RNA (188 nucleotides) under Fukomys damarensis (Damara mole-rat). Its description in RNAcentral is "lncRNA (ENSFDAG00000031004.1)". Lineage: Eukaryota; Metazoa; Chordata; Mammalia; Rodentia; Bathyergidae. The record is from RNAcentral.
CCCAGAGAAACCCUCCUGAUUAAUGUGCCCAGGGCCCAUUAGCUAAUGGAAGAGCCGCAUCCCCACUUCUCAGACAAAUGCGUAACCCAAGUAAUGGACUCAGCCACCUGGAUGAGAAGGGAACCAGCUACAUACCAUAACUGAAAUCAGACAGUCUUGCCGCUGACUAGGAAAACUUACAGGAAGCC